GUAGAACACCAAUUGCGAAGGCAGCUUACUAAACCAUUAUUGACGCUGAUGGACGAAAGCGUGGGGAGCGAACAGGAUUAGAUACCCUGGUAGUCCACGCCGUAAACGAUGAUUACUCGUUGUGCACAAUACACCGUGCGUGACUGAGCGAAAGCAUUAAGUAAUCCACCUGGGGAGUACGUUCGCAAGAAUGAAACUCAAAGGAAUUGACGGGGGCCCGCACAAGCGGAGGAACAUGUGGUUUAAUUCGAUGAUACGCGAGGAACCUUACCUGGACUUAAAUGUAGAUUGACCGGUUUAGAAAUAGAUCUUUCCUUCGGGACAAUUUACAAGGUGCUGCAUGGUUGUCGUCAGCUCGUGCCGUGAGGUGUCGGGUUAAGUCCCAUAACGAGCGCAACCCCUAUCGUUAGUUGCUAGCAGGUAAUGCUGAGGACUCUAGCGAGACUGCCACCGUAAGGUGAGAGGAAGGUGGGGAUGACGUCAAAUCAGCACGGCCCUUACGUCCAGGGCUACACACGUGUUACAAUGGCCAGUACAAAGGGCAGCUACCAGGUGACUGGAUGCUAAUCUCAAAAGCUGGUCUCAGUUCGGAUCGGAGUCUGCAACUCGACUCCGUGAAGUUGGAUUCGCUAGUAAUCGUAUAUCAGCAAUGAUACGGUGAAUACGUUCCCGGGCCUUGUACACACCGCCCGUCAAGCCAUGGAAGCCGAGGGUGCCUGAAGUACGUUACCGCAAGGAGCGUCCUAGGGUAAAAUUGGUAACUGGGGCUAAGUCGUAACAAGGUAACCGUA
RNAcentral lists this ribosomal RNA (791 nucleotides) under uncultured bacterium. Its description in RNAcentral is "bacterial SSU rRNA". It matches the Rfam family "Bacterial small subunit ribosomal RNA", at positions 701 to 1504 of the family's 1533-position model. The record is from RNAcentral.